RNAcentral lists this unclassified non-coding RNA (327 nucleotides) under Hevea brasiliensis (rubber tree). The record is from RNAcentral. Lineage: Eukaryota; Viridiplantae; Streptophyta; Magnoliopsida; Malpighiales; Euphorbiaceae.
ACAUGAUAACAGUGUAAGUAUGAAAGCUGUGUUGAUUACAUGGAGCUAGUUGCCAAAGCGGAAAUGGUCGUGAUGCUGCCAUGUUAAGCAGGGGCAAAAUUGGUGAUGCUUAUAUGAGAGAUGCUACUGGUGGUACAGUGACACAGUAUAGCAGCAUUUAUAGUGCCGUCUACAAGGUUUUGACAAGCAACUUUUGGAAAAUAGAAGUUUGAUCAAUGGACUUAAACUAAAAACAUUGGACAUUCAUAACUUGCAACUCUAAAUAUUCCAAAGCUCACAUCAAAUGCAAUACUUUAAAUCCUCCCAAAGGAACCACAAAAAAGGUAG